Drosophila rhopaloa is the source of this 675-nucleotide long non-coding RNA. RefSeq lists it as uncharacterized. The transcript is spliced from 3 exons. The record is from RefSeq and is a predicted model, not a curated record. NCBI's taxonomy places the organism in Eukaryota, Metazoa, Arthropoda, Insecta, Diptera, Drosophilidae.
AAUAUUGUUUUAAAUCUAGCUAAGAAUUGAUUUAUAUUUACAUAUUUACAUUUAAAUGUAAUGGUCGUCCAAAUUCAUAAGUCUCCAAAAAUUUAAACUGAUAGCUAACCCGCCUUACGAUAUUCGAAAACACCUUCCAGCCCUAUCCGAUACUUAGAUAAUAGCCAUCAGCUGGUCCAGUUUGACAGAUCGGUGUCAUCUCAAAAUAUCGCAAAACUAAGUUUCCAAGUUCAGGCGAGGCCCUUAUAGUUUCUUUUCCGUUUCAAACCCUCAUAUGAGCAGACGUAAAAAAAUUGGAUAAGAUAACAUAUUGUUCCUUUGGGCAUAUGGUAUCCACGUGCCAGUUACUUUGAUCGCACCUUAACCAAAGACAUCCGCUGCCAAAGCCAAUUAAUUUGCCAAUUGAACUUCGUUCUCCUUUUUGGUGGAAUCGUUACGAUUGCUGCCUUUCACGGCUAAAUAGGGUCUGGCUACGCCGCCUAGUUGUGUAUUGAGUAAAUCAAAAGUCAAUAUUAGCUGCUCAAAAAGUUACAUAACUUCAUCCAAAGGUCACGAGUUGUCCGAUCUCCAGUAGAAUAGGAGUACAUAAGCCUGCAAACAUCGUCGUCAAAAAAGGCUGGACUUUACGGCCAGUGUCUAAGACAAAACAUAACGGCACAUCUCUACCCUACCCCU